UGGCAGAUCGUCCAAUGGUAGGACAAGCGCCUUUGGAGCGCUGAAUCAAGGUUCGAGUCCUUGUCUGCCAG
Molecule: transfer RNA, 71 nt
Filed under: Chloracidobacterium thermophilum B
Lineage: Bacteria; Pseudomonadati; Acidobacteriota; Blastocatellia; Chloracidobacteriales; Chloracidobacteriaceae
Description: Candidatus Chloracidobacterium thermophilum B tRNA
Rfam family: tRNA
About the family: Transfer RNA (tRNA) molecules are approximately 80 nucleotides in length. Their secondary structure includes four short double-helical elements and three loops (D, anti-codon, and T loops). Further hydrogen bonds mediate the characteristic L-shaped molecular structure. tRNAs have two regions of fundamental functional importance: the anti-codon, which is responsible for specific mRNA codon recognition, and the 3' end, to which the tRNAs corresponding amino acid is attached (by aminoacyl-tRNA synthetases). tRNAs cope with the degeneracy of the genetic code in two manners: having more than one tRNA (with a specific anti-codon) for a particular amino acid; and 'wobble' base-pairing, i.e. permitting non-standard base-pairing at the 3rd anti-codon position.
Source: Rfam by way of RNAcentral